Molecule: transfer RNA, 74 nt
Filed under: bacterium
Lineage: Bacteria
Also listed under: 1 other name
Description: tRNA-His
Rfam family: tRNA
About the family: Transfer RNA (tRNA) molecules are approximately 80 nucleotides in length. Their secondary structure includes four short double-helical elements and three loops (D, anti-codon, and T loops). Further hydrogen bonds mediate the characteristic L-shaped molecular structure. tRNAs have two regions of fundamental functional importance: the anti-codon, which is responsible for specific mRNA codon recognition, and the 3' end, to which the tRNAs corresponding amino acid is attached (by aminoacyl-tRNA synthetases). tRNAs cope with the degeneracy of the genetic code in two manners: having more than one tRNA (with a specific anti-codon) for a particular amino acid; and 'wobble' base-pairing, i.e. permitting non-standard base-pairing at the 3rd anti-codon position.
Source: RNAcentral
GUGGCCAUGGUGUAGCGGCAGCACGGGGGUUUGUGGAACCCUUAGCGGCGGUUCGAAUCCGCUUGGUCACCCCA